This 1346-nucleotide ribosomal RNA is filed under the name uncultured bacterium. Its description in RNAcentral is "partial 16S ribosomal RNA". It matches the Rfam family "Bacterial small subunit ribosomal RNA", at positions 28 to 1381 of the family's 1533-position model. The record is from RNAcentral.
GACGAACGCUGGCGGCGUGCUUAACACAUGCAAGUCGAACGGAAAGGCCCUGCUUUUGUGGGGUGCUCGAGUGGCGAACGGGUGAGUAACACGUGAGUAACCUGCCCUUGACUUUGGGAUAACUUCAGGAAACUGGGGCUAAUACCGGAUAGGAGCUCCUGCUGCAUGGUGGGGGUUGGAAAGUUUCGGCGGUUGGGGAUGGACUCGCGGCUUAUCAGCUUGUUGGUGGGGUAGUGGCUUACCAAGGCUUUGACGGGUAGCCGGCCUGAGAGGGUGACCGGCCACAUUGGGACUGAGAUACGGCCCAGACUCCUACGGGAGGCAGCAGUGGGGAAUAUUGCACAAUGGGCGGAAGCCUGGUGCAGCAACGCCGCGUGCGGGAUGACGGCCUUCGGGUUGUAAACCGCUUUCGCCUGUGACGAAGCGUGAGUGACGGUAAUGGGUAAAGAAGCACCGGCUAACUACGUGCCAGCAGCCGCGGUGAUACGUAGGGUGCGAGCGUUGUCCGGAUUUAUUGGGCGUAAAGGGCUCGUAGGUGGUUGAUCGCGUCGGAAGUGUAAUCUUGGGGCUUAACCCUGAGCGUGCUUUCGAUACGGGUUGACUUGAGGAAGGUAGGGGAGAAUGGAAUUCCUGGUGGAGCGGUGGAAUGCGCAGAUAUCAGGAGGAACGCCAGUGGCGAAGGCGGUUCUCUGGGCCUUUCCUGACGCUGAGGAGCGAAAGCGUGGGGAGCGAACAGGCUUAGAUACCCUGGUAGUCCACGCUGUAAACGGUGGGUACUAGGUGUGGGGUCCAUUCCACGGGUUCCGUGCCGUAGCUAACGCUUUAAGUACCCCGCCUGGGGAGUACGGCCGCAAGGCUAAAACUCAAAGGAAUUGACGGGGCCCCGCACAAGCGGCGGAGCAUGCGGAUUAAUUCGAUGCAACGCGUAGAACCUUACCUGGGUUUGACAUGGAUCGGGAGUGCUCAGAGAUGGGUGUGCCUCUUUUGGGGUCGGUUCACAGGUGGUGCAUGGCUGUCGUCAGCUCGUGUCGUGAGAUGUUGGGUUAAGUCCCGCAACGAGCGCAACCCUUGUUCACUGUUGCCAGCACGUUAUGGUGGGGACUCAGUGGAGACCGCCGGGGUCAACUCGGAGGAAGGUGGGGAUGACGUCAAGUCAUCAUGCCCCUUAUGUCCAGGGCUUCACGCAUGCUACAAUGGCUGGUACAGAGAGUGGCGAGCCUGUGAGGGUGAGCGAAUCUCGGAAAGCCGGUCUCAGUUCGGAUUGGGGUCUGCAACUCGACCUCAUGAAGUCGGAGUCGCUAGUAAUCGCAGAACAGCAACGCUGCGGUGAAUACGUUCCCGGGGCU